GCUUGGACUGAGCUACUGUCUGUUGCUAACCAGACCAAAGUGAGCUGUGCCUGUGGCUCCGGCCGCUGACUGACUGAGUAUAGACAACUGUCACCAUGCCCCACUCAUACCCAGCCCUUUCUGCUGAGCAGAAGAAGGAGUUGUCGGAUAUUGCUCUGAGGAUUGUGGCCCCAGGCAAGGGCAUUCUGGCUGCAGAUGAGUCCGUGGGUAAGUAGGAGCCCAGGGUCAGGGUUGAGGAGAGGUUGCCAGGGAGCUCUAGCCGAAGAACAAGUCUGUUUCCCCUUUGCUUGCUUCUAGGCAGCAUGGCCAAAAGGCUGAGCCAAAUUGGGGUAGAGAACACUGAGGAGAAUCG
This 352-nucleotide long non-coding RNA is filed under the name Rattus norvegicus (Norway rat). RNAcentral describes it as "long non-coding RNA NONRATT005753". The record is from RNAcentral. Lineage: Eukaryota; Metazoa; Chordata; Mammalia; Rodentia; Muridae.